RNAcentral lists this microRNA precursor (111 nucleotides) under Otolemur garnettii (small-eared galago). RNAcentral's name for it is "miRNA (ENSOGAG00000034276.1)". Lineage: Eukaryota; Metazoa; Chordata; Mammalia; Primates; Galagidae. The record is from RNAcentral.
CUCAGGCGGUGGUCUGAUGGAUCUCACUGGGGCCUCCAGAAUGUAGUGACUCACACAGCUGAGACAGAAACUCAGACCCCACUUUGAUGCAAUAAUCAAUGAAAUUUAUUA